UACGUAGGGUGCAAGCGUUAAUCGGAAUUACUGGGCGUAAAGCGUGCGCAGGCGGCUUUGCAAGACAGAUGUGAAAUCCCCGGGCUCAACCUGGGAACUGCAUUUGUGACUGCAUAGCUAGAGUACGGUAGAGGGGGAUGGAAUUCCGCGUGUAGCAGUGAAAUGCGUAGAUAUGCGGAGGAACGCCGAUGGCGAAGGCAAUCCCCUGGACCUGUACUGACGCUCAUGCACGAAAGCGUGGGGAGCAAACAGG
RNAcentral lists this ribosomal RNA (253 nucleotides) under uncultured bacterium. Its description in RNAcentral is "partial 16S ribosomal RNA". It matches the Rfam family "Bacterial small subunit ribosomal RNA", at positions 524 to 776 of the family's 1533-position model. The record is from RNAcentral.